UACGUAGGGUGCAAGCGUUAUCCGGAAUUAUUGGGCGUAAAGAGCUCGUAGGCGGUUUGUCGCGUCUGCCGUGAAAGUCCGGGGCUCAACUCCGGAUCUGCGGUGGGUACGGGCAGACUAGAGUGUGGUAGGGGAGACUGGAAUUCCUGGUGUAGCGGUGAAAUGCGCAGAUAUCAGGAGGAACACCAAUGGCGAAGGCAGCUCGCUGGAACGGUACUGACGCUGAGGCGCGAAAGCGUGGGGAGCAAACAGG
RNAcentral lists this ribosomal RNA (253 nucleotides) under uncultured bacterium. Its description in RNAcentral is "partial 16S ribosomal RNA". It matches the Rfam family "Bacterial small subunit ribosomal RNA", at positions 524 to 776 of the family's 1533-position model. The record is from RNAcentral.